This 253-nucleotide ribosomal RNA is filed under the name uncultured bacterium. Its description in RNAcentral is "partial 16S ribosomal RNA". It matches the Rfam family "Bacterial small subunit ribosomal RNA", at positions 524 to 776 of the family's 1533-position model. The record is from RNAcentral.
GACGUAGGGCGCGAGCGUUGUCCGGAUUUAUUGGGCGUAAAGAGCUCGUAGGCGGCUUGUUGCGUCGACUGUGAAAACCCGCGGCUUAACUGCGGGCUUGCAGUUGAUACGGGCAGGCUAGAGUUCGGUAGGGGAGACUGGAAUUCUCGGUGUAGCGGUGAAAUGCGUAGAUAUCGAGAGGAACACCUGCGGCGAAGGCGGGUAGCUGGGCCGACACUGACGCUGAGGCGCGAAAGCCAGGGGAGCGAACGGG